ACCUACGGGGGGCAGCAGUGGGGAAUAUUGCACAAUGGGGGAAACCCUGAUGCAGCGACGCCGCGUGAGUGAAGAAGUAUUUCGGUACGUAAAGCUCUAUCCGCAGGGAAGAAAAAAAGUCCUUUGGACUUUGGACGGUACCUGACCAAGAAGCCCCGGCUAACUACGUGCCAGCAGCCGCGGGAAUACGUAGGGGGCAAGCGUUAUCCGGAUUUACCGGGUGUAAAGGGAGCGUAGACGGCAUAGCAAGUCUGAAGUGAAAGCCCAAGGCUCAACCAUGGGAC
RNAcentral lists this ribosomal RNA (284 nucleotides) under uncultured bacterium. Its description in RNAcentral is "partial 16S ribosomal RNA". It matches the Rfam family "Bacterial small subunit ribosomal RNA", at positions 337 to 621 of the family's 1533-position model. The record is from RNAcentral.